AACGUGGGAGGCGAGCGUUAUCCGGAUUUACUGGGCGUAAAGCGCGCGCAGGCGGUAGCAUAAGUCGUGUGUGAAAGCUCCCAGGCUUAACCGGGAGAGGCCAUGCGAUACUGUGCUGCUAGAGGCAAGGAGAGGUAAGCGGAAUUCCGGGUGUAGUGGUGAAAUGCGUAGAUAUCCGGAGGAACACCAGUGGCGAAGGCGGCUUACUGGCCUUGAACUGACGCUCAGACGCGACAGCAUGGGGAGCGAACGGG
This 254-nucleotide ribosomal RNA is filed under the name uncultured bacterium. Its description in RNAcentral is "partial 16S ribosomal RNA". It matches the Rfam family "Bacterial small subunit ribosomal RNA", at positions 524 to 776 of the family's 1533-position model. The record is from RNAcentral.